CCCAGGCCUAAUUCCAUUUCUUGGGAUCGUCCAUUCUCUGACUCACGACAGGGUAUAGGAGGCCUAACCAAUUAUGAGCACAAAGGAGAGAUUAAGUGAACCAGUCCCCUGGUUUGUGAUGCAGAGUCCUUCAUUCAGUUUCCAGUGCAACCCUUUCUGAUGAAUUCACCCCAGAGUCACUUUUACUAUCAUGGGAUCCAUCAUAUUAAAACGGCACUUAGGAGCUGGGUGAGGCAGUGAGGAGGACAAUGGAAAGACUGAGCAGCAAGAAGAGAGGAGGGUGAGGUGGGAACCCACAUGGCUGAGUGGAAAAAGUUAACUGAACUGCCUUGGAAAUAGGCUCCACAUAUUUUUGGAUCAAGCCUUAGUGUUCUAUCUCGUGUGUUUGACAGAGCGGAUUAUGUUUUAACUUUUCUUCCUCUACCUGACAAAGUUAUUUUGAGGAAUAAUCAUGAAAUGAAACAAAUAAUUAAUGGCCAGGAAACUUUAAGUAGUGAACAUUUUCUUUCACUAACCCUUAUAUGGUCAUGUCAGUAAAAAUAAAUAAAUGAAAAUAAACAUGCCAUUUCAGAUUA
This 575-nucleotide long non-coding RNA is filed under the name Homo sapiens (human). RNAcentral describes it as "HSALNT0377760". Lineage: Eukaryota; Metazoa; Chordata; Mammalia; Primates; Hominidae. The record is from RNAcentral.